AUCUCGGGUUUGGGGUUAGGGUUAGUGGAAAGGCCACGAGGAGCCGCGGGGGCUCAGGAGCCGGUGGUGGGCGUCUGAGGAGAAGUCGCCCCACGAGGAAGCUCUUCAGCUUCGGGAGACGCCUGGGCCGGGCGGUCCUGGGCUCCAUCGGCCACGAGUACGCGGGUCCCGGGUACCACACCAGCGACGCGGAACUGCGGAAGAUCCACAGGGCGGCCCUCAAGGGCGACGCCGCGGAGGUGGAGCGCCGCCUGGCGCGCAGGUGCCGGGACGUGGAAGCCCAGGACAGGAAGAGACGUGUUCCAUUAUUCUGCUGGAACAUGGCACCAAUCCAAACAUUAAGGACGUCUACAGCAACACUGCUCUUCAUGAUGGUAAACAUUGAGGAUGUCUACGGCAACACUGCUCUUCAUGAUGCUGUGUAUGAUAAGGGGACUUCACUGGCAGGAAGCCUGCUUUCCCACCAUGCAAAUACUGAAGCACUAAACAAGAACACGACUUAA
Molecule: long non-coding RNA, 503 nt
Filed under: Pan paniscus (pygmy chimpanzee)
Lineage: Eukaryota; Metazoa; Chordata; Mammalia; Primates; Hominidae
Description: lncRNA (ENSPPAG00000044588.1)
Source: RNAcentral